GACGAACCGUGCGAACGUUAUUCGGAAUCACUGGGCUUAAAGGGCGCGUAGGCGGGUCCGUAAGUCAGGGGUGAAAUCCCACGGCCCAACCGUGGAAGUGCCUCUGAUACUGCGGGCCUCGAGGGGGAUAGGGGCGUGCGGAACUCAGGGUGGAGCGGUGAAAUGCGCAGAUAUCAGGAGGAACACCGGUGGCGAAGGCGGGUCUCUGGGCAAUAACUGACGCUGAGGAGCGAAAGUGUGGGGAGCGAACAGG
Molecule: ribosomal RNA, 253 nt
Filed under: uncultured bacterium
Lineage: Bacteria
Description: partial 16S ribosomal RNA
Rfam family: Bacterial small subunit ribosomal RNA
Source: RNAcentral